UAGAACUGUGUGAAGAAGAAGAGAACCCUUAACAUCACAAAUCUACAAAAUUGAAAGGAAAAUUGAAGUUUAAAUCCGUGCAUGAACUAAGAUUCAUGAUCAUCUAAGUGCCCUUAACGCCAAGGGUGAAGAAAGAAGAAGGUACAAGUCAAUCGAAGGCACUUGGAACGCAAAAUCAAGGUAAAUCAAAAUCUUGAAAAAGGCGAGCUUGGAAUGAACACACACACAUCUCGGUCGUAUGCGCUUCCGGACAAGUUGUCACAAACGGGAUGUGUCUCACGGUGUUACAAGGCCAGUAUAUGAGAGGUGAUCACGAAUAGCCAACAUUCAUGGUCAAAGUGGUCGUGUCACGAGAUUUAUGGUUUUGGCAUGCACAUUGUGGACCGUCCGGUUCACUAAAUGACAUCAAUGUUCUCUGGCAGUCUCCAAUAUUCGUCACUAAACGGAAUGGAACCGCACCUAAGUGUCCAUUUCAAUUGAAUGGACAUACACACAAACGACGAUGCUAUUUAACCAAAGGGAUCUACCUUACAUAGUCAAGGUUUGUUUAAACAUUUCCGUAUCUAGUUGAUCCGAAUGAAAAAAUGUUCAAGAAAUUGCGCGAAGGGCAAGAAAAGAUGUGGAGCGGUCAUUUGGUGUCCUAAAAGGAAAAUGGGGCAUACUUAGGAGAUCAAUGUGUGCUACGGUGGUGAACAAGAUUAUUAGCGAGACGUAUACGUGCAUGAUACUUCACAAUAUGGUCUUAAAAGACGAGGGGCAUGCGUUCUCACCGGUCCACAUUAGGGAUCCAAUUGUCGAAUCCGUUUUUGAUGACGUAGCGCUUACAGAGUUAAUGGACCCCGAUACGCAUUAUCGACUUAAAAAUGAUCUUUUCAUCCAUAUUGCAGAUCCAUAUUGUAGCCCAAGAUCUACCAUACCUGGAGGAGGAAGACGAUGUUUAGGAUUUAAAAAUAUUUUUUGUUCGUUUGUUUGAAUUAUAUAUUUUUAUUUUCAGUUAAUGAAAUUAUUUUCUUUUUAA
This is a long non-coding RNA of Helianthus annuus (common sunflower), 1018 nucleotides long. RefSeq lists it as uncharacterized. NCBI's taxonomy places the organism in Eukaryota, Viridiplantae, Streptophyta, Magnoliopsida, Asterales, Asteraceae. The transcript has 4 exons. The record is from RefSeq and is a predicted model, not a curated record.